Molecule: ribosomal RNA, 253 nt
Filed under: uncultured bacterium
Lineage: Bacteria
Description: partial 16S ribosomal RNA
Rfam family: Bacterial small subunit ribosomal RNA
Source: RNAcentral
UACGUAGGUCCCGAGCGUUGUCCGGAUUUAUUGGGCGUAAAGCGAGCGCAGGUGGAUUGUUAAGUCAGUUGUGAAAGUUUGCGGCUCAACCGUAAAAUUGCAGUUGAAACUGGCAGUCUUAAGUACAGUAGAGGUGGGCGGAAUUCGUGGUGUAGCGGUGAAAUGCCUAGAUAUCACGAAGAACUCCGAUUGCGAAGGCAGCUCACUGGACUGCAACUGACACUGAGGCUCGAAAGUGUGGGUAUCAAACAGG